GGGGUGGUAGCUCAGCUGGUUAGAGCAGAGGACUCAUAAUCCUUGGGUCGCGGGUUCGAGUCCCGCCCACCCUAC
This 75-nucleotide transfer RNA is filed under the name Phytomonospora endophytica. RNAcentral describes it as "tRNA-Met". It matches the Rfam family "tRNA". Rfam says of the family: Transfer RNA (tRNA) molecules are approximately 80 nucleotides in length. Lineage: Bacteria; Bacillati; Actinomycetota; Actinomycetes; Micromonosporales; Micromonosporaceae. The record is from RNAcentral.